Molecule: long non-coding RNA, 2821 nt
Filed under: Arachis ipaensis
Lineage: Eukaryota; Viridiplantae; Streptophyta; Magnoliopsida; Fabales; Fabaceae
Description: long non-coding RNA (AIPA_LNC002170)
Source: RNAcentral
UACUUAAUAACUGAAAUUAAAAUAAACUUAAAACAACCAAUUUGGCUAAAGUGUGAAAACCGAAAGAUGGAAAAUGAGGAAUUGGGGUCUGAUUCUAAUGCUCAAAUUGAUGCUGAGACGACUUUAGAUUCCUUGGAAAAAGUUGCGUGCUUGGAAUUCUUUGCUUUCUUAUAAUUGAGGAAUAAAACUACUUAUGCAUUAAACAAGGAAUAUAUAGACUGAAGAAUAAUUAGAAAAAUUUUAGAAAAUUCAAAAAGUUACAAUUGAAAAGCAAUACAAAAUAUAUAUCCUAACAAUUGAUUUAGAAAAUUUGCAUGUAUCUGAGUGUAACUAGUGUCUAUAUUCCAUUACUAAUUAACAACAAUGUUAUUCAUAAUUUGAAACGCGCAGCUUAAAUCUUAACAACAAUUCAUUCCAAAGUCAUCAAAUCCGGCAGCGUUGUUCUGUAUUGAUUCUUGUUCCAUAAAAUUCAAAAACAAAGGGCAAUAUUAAUUUAUUUUUUCCAUAAAACUCAAAAAUAACAAUUAGAGAAGAAAGGAGGAGGGAAUUGAUUUAGGCACAUCUAUAAUUCUUGUAUUCUUUAAAAAUAAAAAGAAGAAAAAAAGGCAGGGUUUGAGUUCACACACAAUGAUGUAACAAGGGUUUGAGUUCACACACAAUGACUGCCACAGAACUAUAAAGAUUUGAACUGAUGAAUAUAUAUAAUUAAUAAGACUAAGACUGGUGGUCUUGGAGCUAGUUCUGGACUAUAUUCACAUUGCUCAGAACCACCAUAACCAUUAACUCUUACUUCAUUGCUCAAUGCCAGCAGCAACACCAGUGCCACCUAAAACAGUAUAUCACUUACAGAUUCAUUGAAUUUCUCCUAGAUUAAGAAUUUUCUCCAAUAUGCAAACAACAAAAUCAAUUUUUAACCAUAUCACCAAAUCAAAUGUGUUGCAUUAGCAUCAAUUUUUAACCAAAGAUAAAAAAUUAAAGUUAGAUGAAAAGAAAUCCUCAGCGAAGAUAUAACAGCCAAAGGAAAUAUCAUAACAAGGCUUCCCAGUUUAGGGGAACUAUCAAUUUUGAUUACCCUUGUAGUAAGAAUCUAAAAUAGUUUUCUUUCAUUUUCUAGAAAGCAUUCUGCUUCACCUAAACACAUAUACUCAGGUUUAAGGGAGCUAUUGAGCUUACCUUGGUAGCAAGAACUAAAUAGUUUUUCUUCUUUUUACAAACAAAGAUCCUGUCUAAAAACUUUUAAGGCUAGCAAAUGGUUAAAAUAACAGGUUAUUUGAGAUCUCAUUUUAUUAUUAACUUUGAAAUCACGGUCUGAUGUUCAUGAUAAUCUCAAUAAUUUUUUUGUUUUGGGAUUAAAGAGAAAAUUAGACAGCAAAAGAGGAAUACAAAGGACAACAGAUUCUCUUUAUAAAAAUGAGCAAUCAGAAGAAAGGGUCACCUAAGAAGUAAACAGCAGAGAGCAAAAAUCAAAGUUGAACAAGUGAACAUCAGAUCUAGAAAAGCAAGAACCUUUUUAAGUCUUGCAACUUCUUCAAGGGUCUGUGAAUUCACAAUGGCAAACUGCACACAGCACAAAAGCAGUAUAUUCACAAUGUUUAUAAUUUAUUUUUUAAGCAGUAUAUUCACAAUGUUUAUUACACAAUGAAUGGAAUGGGCCCUCCAAUGUGGUUGUUGCUAAGAUCACUGCACAAGAAACAGAAAGUUUAAUUUUUAGUUCAAAUAAUUACACAAUUGGUGCUUAAGAGGUACUAAACUCUCUCGAUUAAUCAAACAGAACAAUGUUUAACAUGUCACUCAUCAGUAAACACAAUAAUGAAAUUGAAACAACACUUACAUUUCUAAGAUGGAUGGAAAAUUCAAAUUCCUACCAAGCUCUCCACCUAAAUUCAGGCCAUCAAGUCUUCUGUCAACCCAAAAUACAAGUUUUACUUAGCCUUAUUGCACUUAAUUAAGCUCUAUCAAUCAAACAACUAAUGAAACAUUGAAAAUAAUAACAUUAUCAUUUCCAACCAAUUAUAUAGAGCAUGCAAACAAUAACUCAAUAUUAACCAAAAAUAGUUUAAAAAGAGGAGAACUUAUCAGUAUCAUUUGAUAAUUGAUACCAUACAAUCACCCAAAAUAUUAAAUAUCCAACUUCAGAUAAGGAUGAAUCUACAGUUUUACCACUUCAAAGCAUUUGAUAUUCAGUAACCAUCUACAGUUUAGGAGCAUUAUUUUCAUUUAACUAUUUUCUCAAUAGAAUUGCUGCUCGUCACUUUCAAAAGUUUCUUCCGAACCCUAAAAGUUGAAAUCGGACAAAAUGUCCAAAAUAUGUAUUGCGAUACCGUAAGAGGAGGAAUGAACCUCUACACCGGUUUUGGUUUGGAAGUUGACAAAGGAAUUCCUUUUCUGCGGAAUGCAAUCCCUAACGGCGGAUCUGAAUGGAAAGGAAGGAAAGGAGAGACUCGUCAAAAAGGAAGGAAAGGAGAGGAAAGGAAGCUGACCUGGAUCGUCGUAGAGGAAGGCGUUGAUGAUUUUGGCAGAGAAGACACAGAGGACGACAAGGAGAGGAAGAUGGAGGAGACGUCAUCAGAGGAAAUCGCCACUGUAGGAGAUUUCGUCGAUGGAGAUCGAUGCCGGAGGAGAUGUCACCGGAGAAGAUCGUCGGAGAAUGCAAGAGGAUCGGAGAUCGUCGCAGAGGCCAUCCAGGAGAACAGCGUCACGGCGUAGUGUUUCAACGAAGUAAGGGUUUCUGAAAUUAGGGAUUGAUAAUUCUUGUUUUAUACUUAGGUGAUAAUGGCAGUUCAAAACCGCGCUAAUUAUAAAAAUCGCCACAAAUCCAAAA